RNAcentral lists this ribosomal RNA (253 nucleotides) under uncultured bacterium. RNAcentral describes it as "partial 16S ribosomal RNA". It matches the Rfam family "Bacterial small subunit ribosomal RNA", at positions 524 to 776 of the family's 1533-position model. The record is from RNAcentral.
UACGUAGGGUGCGAGCGUUAAUCGGAAUUAUUGGGCGUAAAGAGCUCGUAGGUGGCUUGUCACGUCGGGUGUGAAAGCUUGGGGCUUAACUCCAGGUCUGCAUUCGAUACGGGCUGGCUAGAGGUAGGUAGGGGAGAACGGAAUUCCUGGUGUAGCGGUGAAAUGCGCAGAUAUCAGGAGGAACACCGGUGGCGAAGGCGGUUCUCUGGGCCUUACCUGACGCUGAGGAGCGAAAGCGUGGGGAGCGAACAGG